RNAcentral lists this transfer RNA (71 nucleotides) under Patescibacteria group bacterium. RNAcentral describes it as "tRNA-Gly". It matches the Rfam family "tRNA". From Rfam's summary of the family: Transfer RNA (tRNA) molecules are approximately 80 nucleotides in length. Their secondary structure includes four short double-helical elements and three loops (D, anti-codon, and T loops). The record is from RNAcentral.
GCGGGUGUAGCACAGUGGUAGUGCGCUUGCUUGCCAAGCAAGAUAUGGCGGUUCGAUCCCGCUCACCCGCU